CGGACGGGUGAGUAACGCGUGAGAAUCUGGCUUCAGGUCUGGGACAACCACUGGAAACGGUGGCUAAUACCCCAUAGGCUGAGGAGCAAAAGGAGGAAUCCGCCUGAGGAGGGUCUUGCGUCUGAUUAGCUAGUUGGUGAGGUAAUGGCUCACCAAGGCUACGAUCAGUAGCUGGUCUGAGAGGAUGAUCAGCCACACUGGGACUGAGACACGGCCCAGACUCUUACGGGAGGCAGCAGUGGGGAAUUUUCCGCAAUGGGCGAGAGCCUGACGGAGCAAUACCGCGUGAGGGAGGAAGGCUCUUGGGUCGUAAACCUCUUUUCUCAGGGAAGAACACAAUGACGGUACCUGAGGAAUAAGCAUCGGCUAACUCCGUGCCAGCAGCCGCGGUAAUACGGAGGAUGCAAGCGUUAUCCGGAAUGAUUGGGCGUAAAGCGUCCGCAGGUGGCAAUGUAAGUCUGCUGUUAAAGAGUCUAGCUCAACUAGAUAAGAGCAGUGGAAACUACAUAGCUAGAGUACGUUCGGGGCAGAGGGAAUUCCUGGUGUAGCGGUGAAAUGCGUAGAGAUCAGGUAGAACACCAGUGGCGAAGGCGCUCUGCUAGGCCGUAACUGACACUGAGGGACGAAAGCUAGGGGAGCGAAUGGGAUUAGAUACCCCAGUAGUC
Molecule: ribosomal RNA, 665 nt
Filed under: uncultured cyanobacterium
Lineage: Bacteria; Bacillati; Cyanobacteriota
Description: bacterial SSU rRNA
Rfam family: Bacterial small subunit ribosomal RNA
Source: RNAcentral